RNAcentral lists this ribosomal RNA (300 nucleotides) under uncultured Paracoccaceae bacterium. RNAcentral's name for it is "bacterial SSU rRNA". It matches the Rfam family "Bacterial small subunit ribosomal RNA", at positions 114 to 431 of the family's 1533-position model. The record is from RNAcentral. Lineage: Bacteria; Pseudomonadati; Pseudomonadota; Alphaproteobacteria; Rhodobacterales; Paracoccaceae.
CGCGUGGGAAUAUGCCCUUCACUACGGAAUAGCCUCGGGAAACUGAGAGUAAUACCGUAUACGCCCUUCGGGGGAAGGAUUUAUCGGUGAAGGAUUAGCCCGCGUUGGAUUAGGUAGUUGGUGGGGUAAAAGCCUACCAAGCCGACGAUCCAUAGCUGGUUUGAGAGGAUGAUCAGCCACACUGGAACUGAGACACGGUCCAGACUCCUACGGGAGGCAGCAGUGGGGAAUAUUGCACAAUGGGCGAAAGCCUGAUGCAGCCAUGCCGCGUGUGUGAAGAAGGCUCUAGGGUUGUAAAGC